GAUUAAGUUAUUAAGGGCGCACGGUGGAUGCCUUGGCACUAGAAGCCGAUGAAGGACGUUACUAACGACGAUAUGCUUUGGGGAGCUGUAAGUAAGCUUUGAUCCAGAGAUUUCCGAAUGGGGAAACCCAGCAUGAGUUAUGUCAUGUUAUCGAUAUGUGAAUACAUAGCAUAUCAGAAGGCACACCCGGAGAACUGAAACAUCUUAGUACCCGGAGGAAGAAGAAAAUUCGAUUCCCUUAGUAGCGGCGAGCGAAACGGGAAGAGCCCAAACCAACAAGCUUGCUUGUUGGGGUUGUAGGACACUCUAUACGGAGUUACAAAGGACGACAUUAGACGAAUCAUCUGGAAAGAUGAAUCAAAGAAGGUAAUAAUCCUGUAGUCGAAAAUGUUGUCUCUCUUGAGUGGAUCCUGAGUACGACGGAACACGUGAAAUUAAAUACUCCCUGGUGACCGAUAGUGAAGCAGUACCGUGAGGGAAAGGUGAAAAGCACCCCGGAAGGGGAGUGAAAGAGAACCUGAAACCGUGUGCUUACAAGAAGUCAGAGCCCGAUAAUGGGUGAUGGCGUGCCUUUUGUAGAAUGAACCGGCGAGUUACGUUUGCGUGCAAGGUUAAGGUGAAAAGCCGCAGCCGAACCGAACCCACGCACGUUGAAAAGUGCGGGGAUGAGGUGUGGGUAGCGGAGAAAUUCCAAUCGAACCUGGAGAUAGCUGGUUCUCUCCGAAAUAGCUUUAGGGCUAGCCUCAAGUGAUGAUUAUUGGAGGUAGAGCACUGUUUGGACGAGGGGCCCCUCUCGGGUUACCGAAUUCAGACAAACUCCGAAUGCCAAUUAAUUUAACUUGGGAGUCAGAACAUGGGUGAUAAGGUCCGUGUUCGAAAGGGAAACAGCCCAGACCACCAGCUAAGGUCCCAAAAUAUAUGUUAAGUGGAAAAGGAUGUGGCGUUGCCCAGACAACUAGGAUGUUGGCUUAGAAGCAGCCAUCAUUUAAAGAGUGCGUAAUAGCUCACUAGUCGAGUGACACUGCGCCGAAAAUGUACCGGGGCUAAACAUAUUACCGAAGCUGUGGAUUGUCCUUUGGACAAUGGUAGGAGAGCGUUCUAAGGGCGUUGAAGCAUGAUCGUAAGGACAUGUGGAGCGCUUAGAAGUGAGAAUGCCGGUGUGAGUAGCGAAAGACGGGUGAGAAUCCCGUCCACCGAUUGACUAAGGUUUCCAGAGGAAGGCUCGUCCGCUCUGGGUUAGUCGGGUCCUAAGCUGAGGCCGACAGGCGUAGGCGAUGGAUAACAGGUUGAUAUUCCUGUACCACCUAUAAUCGUUUUAAUCGAUGGGGGGACGCAGUAGGAUAGGCGAAGCGUGCGAUUGGAUUGCACGUCUAAGCAGUAAGGCUGAGUAUUAGGCAAAUCCGGUACUCGUUAAGGCUGAGCUGUGAUGGGGAGAAGACAUUGAGUCUUCGAGUCGUUGAUUUCACACUGCCGAGAAAAGCCUCUAGAUAGAAAAUAGGUGCCCGUACCGCAAACCGACACAGGUAGUCAAGAUGAGAAUUCUAAGGUGAGCGAGCGAACUCUCGUUAAGGAACUCGGCAAAAUGACCCCGUAACUUCGGGAGAAGGGGUGCUCUUUAGGGUUAACGCCCAGAAGAGCCGCAGUGAAUAGGCCCAAGCGACUGUUUAUCAAAAACACAGGUCUCUGCUAAACCGUAAGGUGAUGUAUAGGGGCUGACGCCUGCCCGGUGCUGGAAGGUUAAGAGGAGUGGUUAGCUUCUGCGAAGCUACGAAUCGAAGCCCCAGUAAACGGCGGCCGUAACUAUAACGGUCCUAAGGUAGCGAAAUUCCUUGUCGGGUAAGUUCCGACCCGCACGAAAGGCGUAACGAUUUGGGCACUGUCUCAACGAGAGACUCGGUGAAAUCAUAGUACCUGUGAAGAUGCAGGUUACCCGCGACAGGACGGAAAGACCCUAGGUAGGAGCCUUUGAAACGUGAGCGCUAGCUUACGUGGAGGCGCUGGUGGGAUACUACCCUAGCUGUGUUGGCUUUCUAACCCGCACCACUUAUCGUGGUGGGAGACAGUGUCAGGCGGGCAGUUUGACUGGGGCGGUCGCCUCCUAAAAGGUAACGGAGGCGCUCAAAGGUUCCCUCAGAAUGGUUGGAAAUCAUUCAUAGAGUGUAAAGGCAUAAGGGAGCUUGACUGCGAGACCUACAAGUCGAGCAGGGUCGAAAGACGGACUUAGUGAUCCGGUGGUUCCGCAUGGAAGGGCCAUCGCUCAACGGAUAAAAGCUACCCCGGGGAUAACAGGCUUAUCUCCCCCAAGAGUUCACAUCGACGGGGAGGUUUGGCACCUCGAUGUCGGCUCAUCGCAUCCUGGGGCUGUAGUCGGUCCCAAGGGUUGGGCUGUUCGCCCAUUAAAGCGGUACGCGAGCUGGGUUCAGAACGUCGUGAGACAGUUCGGUCCCUAUCCGUCGUGGGCGUAGGAAAUUUGAGAGGAGCUGUCCUUAGUACGAGAGGACCGGGAUGGACAUACCUCUGGUGUACCAGUUGUCGUGCCAACGGCAUAGCUGGGUAGCUAUGUGUGGACGGGAUAAGUGCUGAAAGCAUCUAAGCAUGAAGCCCCCCUCAAGAUGAGAUUUCCCAACUUCGGUUAUAAGAUCCCUCAAAGAUGAUGAGGUUAAUAGGUUCGAGGUGGAAGCAUGGUGACAUGUGGAGCUGACGAAUACUAAUCGAUCGAAGACUUAAUCAA
RNAcentral lists this ribosomal RNA (2731 nucleotides) under Staphylococcus aureus. Its description in RNAcentral is "23S ribosomal RNA". It matches the Rfam family "Bacterial large subunit ribosomal RNA". Lineage: Bacteria; Bacillati; Bacillota; Bacilli; Caryophanales; Staphylococcaceae. The record is from RNAcentral.